This is a long non-coding RNA of Chiloscyllium plagiosum (whitespotted bambooshark), 1089 nucleotides long. RefSeq lists it as uncharacterized. NCBI's taxonomy places the organism in Eukaryota, Metazoa, Chordata, Chondrichthyes, Orectolobiformes, Hemiscylliidae. The record is from RefSeq and is a predicted model, not a curated record.
CAUCAAAAGUGGGCGAUGUGCAAAAUUACCAGCCAAUUGAAUCAGAUUGGCUUCUUACCAGGACGGUGGUGUGAUAAAGCUGGUAGGAUUAUCGGACGUUACAAUGAACUCUUCAAAUUCUCAAAUUUAAUGCUGGAAGAUAUUAGGAAGCAAUAUACCAAUGCUGGUAUUGUUUACUCAUGGCAUCACCCUUGUCCUAGCUCUCUCUGCAAUUCCUCCAGCUUACCAACCCUCCACGAUUUCUGCACCUUUCCAGUUCUGGACUCCCACCCCGACCAUCUCAAUUUGGGACCUGCAACAAAUGCUGGUCUUGACAGCCAUGCUCAUUUCAUAAAAGAGUUAAAAUAAUCUCUGAAAUUCGCUCCAUAAAGAACUCUGUUCCUGUGUCGUAAAUUGAUACGUUUCUAAUUCAAAGAGACUAUAUAAAUGAAAGUAAUUUGUUGUUGUCCCACUUCUCAUGUUACUCGGUAAUUCAGGAAGUGAAGACAGAGGCGGGAGUUUCCCAGCUCUCAGUGAUUGGAUUAGCGAGCCGCAUAAAAGGCCACUUUCGGGGUUGUUUGUCCUUUUUGGUGGUGGGCAUCUUCUCGUUCACGGGGAGGAGACGAUGGCUCCUGCAUAUCUCUCUCUCUUCCCCCCCUCCAAAAGGGAGGAGAGGAGAGUUCCUGUCCAAGGCAGGGACACUAGUGUGUCAGCACACUAGUGCGCAGAACAGUGAAAUGGAGACUGAUCGAAUAGAUCUGGAAAGUGAAAGUAUUGAAGACAAGAAAUGGAAGGCACUGAGAAGUUAUCUCUUCUGUUGCCUUUGAUGCCUCUGAUCGAAGAGAAUGGACUGAAAGAGAACUUUGAACUUACAAGCAACAUAAUAAACCAACGUAUGACCUACGCAAGGAGUAAAAACAGAAAUAACUUUUAAAGAAUAAAAUGAAGCGCAACUUUGAGCAUAAACACGUGAAAUGUAUGAAAUAUUUUAAAUUUAUUUCUUAUUUAUUUUCUUUGCUUUUGGUUGACUGCGUUGCUUGGUUAGCUGAGAUGGGGAGCGCUCAGCAGGGAAAAUACAGCUCCCAAUAAAUAAAGCAAAUUUAAAAAAAA